This 486-nucleotide ribosomal RNA is filed under the name uncultured bacterium. RNAcentral's name for it is "partial 16S ribosomal RNA". It matches the Rfam family "Bacterial small subunit ribosomal RNA", at positions 30 to 507 of the family's 1533-position model. The record is from RNAcentral.
AUUGAAUGCUGGCGGCAUGCCUUACACAUGCAAGUCGAACGGCAGCACGGGUGCUUGCACCUGGUGGCGAGUGGCGAACGGGUGAGUAAUACAUCGGAACAUGUCCUGUAGUGGGGGAUAGCCCGGCGAAAGCCGGAUUAAUACCGCAUACGAUCCACGGAUGAAAGCGGGGGACCUUCGGGCCUCGCGCUAUAGGGUUGGCCGAUGGCUGAUUAGCUAGUUGGUGGGGUAAAGGCCUACCAAGGCGACGAUCAGUAGCUGGUCUGAGAGGACGACCAGCCACACUGGGACUGAGACACGGCCCAGACUCCUACGGGAGGCUGCAGUGGGGAAUUUUGGACAAUGGGCGAAAGCCUGAUCCAGCAAUGCCGCGUGUGUGAAGAAGGCCUUCGGGUUGUAAAGCACUUUUGUCCGGAAAGAAAUCCUUGACUCUAAUACAGUCGGGGGAUGACGGUACCGGAAGAAUAAGCACCGGCUAACUACGUG